RNAcentral lists this unclassified non-coding RNA (337 nucleotides) under soil metagenome. RNAcentral's name for it is "partial contains 5.8S ribosomal RNA, internal transcribed spacer 2, and large subunit ribosomal RNA". The stretch from base 1 to 120 matches the Rfam family "5.8S ribosomal RNA", at positions 35 to 154 of the family's 154-position model. The record is from RNAcentral.
GAUGAAGAACGUAGCGAAAUGCGAUAAGUAGUGUGAAUUGCAGAAUUCAGUGAAUCAUCGAAUCUUUGAACGCACAUUGCGCCCUUUGGUAUUCCAAAGGGCAUGCCUGUUCGAGCGUCAUUUGUACCCUCAAGCUUUGCUUGGUGUUGGGCGUCUUGUCUCUCUCCCGAGACUCGCCUUAAAAUCAUUGGCAGCCGGCCUACUGGUUUCGGAGCGCAGCACAUUAUUUGCGCUCUUGUCCAGCCGCGGUCGCGCGUCCAUGAAGCUACUUUCAAACUUUUGACCUCGGAUCAGGUAGGGAUACCCGCUGAACUUAAGCAUAUCAAUAAGCGGAGGA